RNAcentral lists this ribosomal RNA (472 nucleotides) under uncultured bacterium. RNAcentral's name for it is "partial 16S ribosomal RNA". It matches the Rfam family "Bacterial small subunit ribosomal RNA", at positions 30 to 507 of the family's 1533-position model. The record is from RNAcentral.
AGUGAACGCUGGCGGUAGGCCUAACACAUGCAAGUCGAACGGCAGCACCGUAAGAGCUUGCUCUUACGGGUGGCGAGUGGCGGACGGGUGAGGAAUACAUCGGAAUCUACUUUUUCGUGGGGGAUAACGUAGGGAAACUUACGCUAAUACCGCAUACGACCUACGGGUGAAAGCAGGGGAUCUUCGGACCUUGCGCGAUUGAAUGAGCCGAUGUCGUAUUAGCUAGUUGGCGGGGUAAAGGCCCACCAAGGCGUCGAUCCGUAGCUGGUCUGAGAGGGUGGACGGCCACAUUGGGACUGAGGUAGGGCCCAGAAUGGUAUGGGAGGCAGCAGUGGGGAAUAUUGCAAAUUGGGCGGAAGCCUGAUGCAGCAGCGCCGCGGGCGGGAUGACGGCCUUCGGGUUGUAAACCGCUUUAGCCUGAGACGAAGCGUGGGUGACGGUAAUGAGUAAAGAAGCACCGGCUAACUACGUG